UAGGGAAUCUUCCGCAAUGGACGCAAGUCUGACGGAGCAACGCCGCGUGAGUGAAGAAGGAUUUCGGUUCGUAAAACUCUGUUGUUAGAGAAGAACAGCGCAUAGAGUAACUGUUAUGCGUGUGACGGUAUCUAACCAGAAAGCCACGGCUAACCACGUGCCAGCAGCCGCGGUAAUACGUAGGUGGCAAGCGUUGUCCGGAUUUAUUGGGCGUAAAGCGAGCGCAGGCGGUCAAUUAAGUCUGAUGUGAAAGCCCCCGGCUCAACCAGGGAGGGUCAUUGGAAACUGGUUGACUUGAGUGCAGAAGAGGAGAGUGGAAUUCCAUGUGUAGCGGUGAAAUGCGUAGAUAUAUGGAGGAACACCAGUGGCGAAGGCGACUCUCUGGUCUGUAACUGACGCUGAGGCUCGAAAGCGUGGGUAGCAAACAGG
Molecule: ribosomal RNA, 429 nt
Filed under: Bacteroidota bacterium
Lineage: Bacteria; Pseudomonadati; Bacteroidota
Description: Bacteroidetes bacterium partial 16S ribosomal RNA
Rfam family: Bacterial small subunit ribosomal RNA
Source: RNAcentral